UACGGGGGGGGCAAGCGUUGUUCGGAAUUACUGGGCGUAAAGGGCUCGUAGGUGGCCAACUAAGUCCGACGUGAAAUCCCCAGGCUCAACUUGGGAACUGCGUCUGAUACUGGAUGGCUUGAAUUCGGGAGAGGGAUGCAGAAUUCCAGGUGUAGCGGUGAAAUGCGUAGAUAUCUGGAGGAAUACCGGUGGCGAAGGCGGCAUCCUGGACCGAGAUUGACACUGAUGAGCGAAAGCUAGGGGAGCAAACGGG
RNAcentral lists this ribosomal RNA (253 nucleotides) under uncultured bacterium. Its description in RNAcentral is "partial 16S ribosomal RNA". It matches the Rfam family "Bacterial small subunit ribosomal RNA", at positions 524 to 776 of the family's 1533-position model. The record is from RNAcentral.